UUUCAUACUAAAUCGGUAUAUCUCAUGUCUACGCUGGCCGCCAUGUGACAGGCCGCGGGAAUUCGAUUAGAGUUUGAUCCUGGCUCAUAAUAUAAGGAGCGCUGGCGGCAUGCCUUACACAUGCAAGUCGAACGGCAGCGCGGACUUCGGUCUGGCGGCGAGUGGCGAACGGGUGAGUAAUACAUCGGAACGUACCCUGUUGUGGGGGAUAACUAGUCGAAAGAUUAGCUAAUACCGCAUACGACCUGAGGGUGAAAGUGGGGGACCGCAAGGCCUCACGCAGCAGGAGCGGCCGAUGUCUGAUUAGCUAGUUGGUGGGGUAAAGGCCCACCAAGGCGACGAUCAGUAGCUGGUCUGAGAGGACGAUCAGCCACACUGGGACUGAGACACGGCCCAGACUCCUACGGGAGGCAGCAGUGGGGAAUUUUGUACCAUGGGGUCAACCCUGAUCCUCCCCUGCCGCGUGCGUGAAGAUGGCCUUCGGGUUAAGGUUCGCUUCUGUUCGGAGACAUUACUCGAUGUUUUAAUAACUGGGAUGUGAGACGGUCCUGGAAGACCUGGUGGCCCCUUUCCCUUUUCGGCACCUAAGGGAUUUCUGGCUCGGUGAGUGCAUUGUCAGGGGUAAGGUAAGGUUUUUCCGGGUGCAUCCAAUUAAUCCCAAUUGUUCCACCGUUGGUGGGGUUCCCCGUCAUAUCCUUGAGAUUUAUCCUGGGAACCGUAUCCCCCAUGGGUUCAAUUUUCCCCGUUAGCUCCAUGUUCUGGAAAAAUAAUUUCCCCCCAUCCCGUUUGGUAUCCUGUUGGGGCGGGGGGGAUCAGGGGUAUUCUCAUCCUGUGUGUCUCCUCCCGUUUUUUUGGGUAAAGAAUAUUCCGCGCCCCCAAGGGGGUCCUCUCUGCCCCAGGUUUACUCCCCCCUCCUCUCCCACUUAUAUCGUAGCCGCGGAGAUGAAUCCUCCCCCUCUGGAGAUCCCUGCCUUGGAUGGUCAAUAUAAUUUUUCAUCGUAUGAGCCCCGGGCUGUUGUAUUCUUGGGCUUAUCUAAAAAUAAAGUGCAUGGCGUCGUCUCUACAUAUUAUAUAUAUAUUGUUGUGGUGGUGUACCUCCCGGUUUCCCCGUUCCCCCCGCCGGGUAGAAUUUAAAGGAGAAUUACCUUUUUGUUGUUUAAUUUAAUUUAAGCA
Molecule: ribosomal RNA, 1173 nt
Filed under: uncultured bacterium
Lineage: Bacteria
Description: partial 16S ribosomal RNA
Rfam family: Bacterial small subunit ribosomal RNA (bases 70-607)
Source: RNAcentral